AGUGAAUGCUGGCGGUAGGCCUAACACAUGCAAGUCGAACGGCAGCACAGUAAGAGCUUGCUCUUACGGGUGGCGAGUGGCGGACGGGUGAGGAAUACAUCGGAAUCUACUUUUUCGUGGGGGAUAACGUAGGGAAACUUACGCUAAUACCGCAUACGACCUACGGGUGAAAGCAGGGGAUCUUCGGACCUUGCGCGAUUGAAUGAGCCGAUGUCGGAUUAGCUAGUUGGCUGGGUAAAGGCCCACCAAGGCGACGAUCCGUAGCUGGUCUGAGAGGAUGAUCAGCCACACUGGAACUGAGACACGGUCCAGACUCCUACGGGAGGCAGCAGUGGGGAAUCUUGGACAAUGGGCGAAAGCCUGAUCCAGCCAUACCGCGUGAGUGAAGAAGGCCUUCGGGUUGUAAAGCCCUUUUGUUGGGAAAGAAAAGCAGCAGGUUAAUACCCCGCUGUUCUGACGGUACCCAAAGAAUAAGCACCGGCUAACUUCGUG
RNAcentral lists this ribosomal RNA (492 nucleotides) under uncultured bacterium. RNAcentral describes it as "partial 16S ribosomal RNA". It matches the Rfam family "Bacterial small subunit ribosomal RNA", at positions 29 to 507 of the family's 1533-position model. The record is from RNAcentral.